RNAcentral lists this long non-coding RNA (330 nucleotides) under Bos indicus x Bos taurus (hybrid cattle). Its description in RNAcentral is "lncRNA (ENSBIXG00005015355.1)". The record is from RNAcentral. Lineage: Eukaryota; Metazoa; Chordata; Mammalia; Artiodactyla; Bovidae.
GUAGUUUGUAAUUGAAUAAAUGAGGUAUGCCACUUUCUUUUCCUGUUGCAUUUUCAAAGAAAACCUGUGGAUGCUCCUGGAUGACUUUUAUGUAUUUGGGAAAGAGAUAAUGACAAACAUGAGUCUAGGACUUGAAGUCGCCUGUGCUUUCCUCCUUAAAGUAAGUUCGGUACGUACGAAGGAGUUCUGUCCUACUUGUGUUUGUUUGUAAGUCCAACAAAGUUAGCCUAGAUACUAACACAAUUGGCUAUAUCGUAUGAUUCAGUAAUAGGUUUAUAAUACUUUUCACACAAAUAACACAUUAAAACAAACACACAAAAAUAAAUAAAA